RNAcentral lists this ribosomal RNA (292 nucleotides) under uncultured bacterium. RNAcentral describes it as "partial 16S ribosomal RNA". The record is from RNAcentral.
GGACUACCGGGGUAUCUAAUCCCAUUCGCGACCCACGCUUUCGUGUUUCAGCGUCAGGAGCGGACCAGUCUCUUGCCUUCGCUUUUGGUGUUCCCCAUGAUAUCAACGCAUUUCACCGCUACACCAUGAGUUCCAGAGACCUCUUCCGUCCUCAAGCCCUGCCGUUUCCCGCGCAGCCUCCCGGUUGAGCCAGAAGAUUUAACGCGAGACUAACAGAGCCGCCUACACACCCUUUACGCCCAAUGAUUUCGGAUAACGCUCGAGGCACUCGUAUUACCGCGGCUGCUGGCAC